GAUGAACGCUGGCGGCGUGCCUAAUACAUGCAAGUCGAGCGAACGGACGAGAAGCUUGCUUCUCUGAUGUUAGCGGCGGACGGGUGAGUAACACGUGGAUAACCUACUUAUAAGACUGGGAUAACUUCGGGAAACCGGAGCUAAUACCGGAUAAUAUUUUGAACCGCAUGGUUCAAAAGUGAAAGGCGGUCUUGCUGUCACUUAUAGAUGGAUCCGCGCUGCAUUAGCUAGUUGGUAAGGUAACGGCUUACCAAGGCAACGAUGCAUAGCCGACCUGAGAGGGUGAUCGGCCACACUGGAACUGAGACACGGUCCAGACUCCUACGGGAGGCAGCAGUAGGGAAUCUUCCGCAAUGGGCGAAAGCCUGACGGAGCAACGCCGCGUGAGUGAUGAAGGUCUUCGGAUCGUAAAACUCUGUUAUUAGGGAAGAACAUAUGUGUAAGUAACUGUGCACAUCUUGACGGUACCUAAUCAGAAAGCCACGGCUAACUACGUG
Molecule: ribosomal RNA, 497 nt
Filed under: uncultured bacterium
Lineage: Bacteria
Description: partial 16S ribosomal RNA
Rfam family: Bacterial small subunit ribosomal RNA
Source: RNAcentral